Equus caballus (horse) is the source of this 17704-nucleotide long non-coding RNA. NCBI's taxonomy places the organism in Eukaryota, Metazoa, Chordata, Mammalia, Perissodactyla, Equidae. The record is from Ensembl.
GGGAGAAGAGUAGAAGCCAUAUCUUUGUGGCCAUAUCCAGGGCCUGACUUAGAAAGCAGUCACCGAGUACACUGAGAAAGAGGAUGGUUUCUGGAAGAAGACAAUCCAUGCAGUCCACCGUACCCCCGCUACAACACGACUGUUCACGCAUCUCCUCGCUCCGUUUGCCCUUCAUUCCUCUGACAAAUCCUCGUGGGAGGCUGUGGCGAGGCUCCUCCUCUGGGGGAAUGCACGCGUGGAGAGGAGGCAGCUCCUUCCCCAAACAAACAGAAGAAGAGAAAGCCAAGAGAAAGUUGGUUCGCUUACUAAACACGGACCACACGCUGACUACCGAUGGCUGGCAGUAAAGGAAACUGGCAUGGAGCUCAGGUCCCAGGGAGGGCAAGGAGGAAAACACCCAGGAGCCAGAGAGAAGACAGAGGAGCCAGGGGAGCUGUGGGUGAAGAUGCACACGGUGAAGCGGGCGGCCAGCUGAGGCCUCCCAGGGAAGGCGGCCUGAGCAAAGCUGUGAGGGAAGCUGACGAGCCUUGCAGCCUCGAUUUCUCUGGGGACUGUGUUGACAACAGUGAAGGGAGACAAAGAUGGAAGCAGAAGACCCACUGUGAAGACUUGGUGACAACGGGGUGAGAGGGGACGGCGCUCAGACUUGGGUGGCAGAGGAGGUAAGACGUGGUCAGACUCUGAACAUCUUUUGAGGGAAGAACCAACAAAAUUUGCUGACAGAUUGGAAGGGCAAUGUGAAAAAGAGAGAGGAGUUAAGAAUGACUUCAAGGAUUUUGGACCUGAGCAAAUGGAAAGAGUGAGCUGUCAUGAACGGAGGUGAGAAAGACGACAAGAGAAAGGAUUUGGGGAUGUUUGGUGAGGUAGGGGUCAGGAAGCUGGUUUUUGUCAACAUGUUCAAUGGGAGAUGCCUGAAGACACCCAUGGGAUGUGCUGAGCAGCAGGGGAGAGGCUGGGCUGGAGAGACACUUGGGACCAACAGUGUAUAGAUGGUAUUUGAAGCCAGGAGGCUGCGGGAGGUCACAGAGGAGUGAGGGUGGGGACGGAAAAGAAGAGGGCUGAGGACCGGGCCCUAGGCCUCCUGUGCAAAGUGUUGGGGAAGGUGGAGAGUACUCAGCAAAGGAGACCGAGGUGAAGCCACCAAGAUAGGAGGGGAAUCCAAAGAUCGCUGUCCUGACAGCCAAGUGCAGAAAGAGCUUCCGGGAGGAGGAAGUGAAUGGUGUGUCCAGUGCUCUGUCAGCUCCGUUAAGAUCCAGACUGAGACUUGACCAUCAGAUUUACGGAGAGGGGUCACUGUUGACUUUAACAAGAGCCCUGUGGAGGAAGGGCGGGGGUGCGAGCCUGACCAGAGUGCCUCCAAGAGCAAGAGAGAGGAGAAGAUUGGGAAUUAGGGCAGGUACUUGACUCUGAGGAGCAAAGAAGCAGAGUGACAGACGGAAGAGGAUGUGGGCUCAAGAGACGGGUGUGUGUGUGUGAGAGAGACAUAUCAGCGCGCCUGCAUGCUGAUGAGAAUGAUCAAGUCUUGAGGAGACCUUCAGGAUGCGGGUGAAGAGGAGAGACUUGCUGGAGCCAUGGCCUUGAGAGAAUGAGAGCAGACGGCAUCCCGCGCCCCGUGGAGGAGGGGUGUUUGCUGGGAGCACAGGCACACAGCUGUACAAUGGAAGAGCGGUCCCCGCAGAGGGCAGAGGAGGCGGGGCGGGGCGUUCCCAGAGCCAGCACAGGGUGAGAGACACCCACGUUCCAUAGCAGGGACAUGUGCAGGCAUUUGCUCUCGGCUAUUUACAUACAUUAGCUUCAAAUUCUUGCAACAACCCAAUGAGAUAAAUGCUGUCACUGUGCCCAGUUUAGGUAGAAUACUGAGGCAUAGCAAUGUUCAGAAUUUUGUCCAAAGUCACACAAGUAGCAAUCGGCAUAGUCUGGCUGAUGACCCCUGCUCGCUGUACCAGGAUGAACGGAGGGACGACGGCUCAGCGGCAGCUGGACGAGAAGCUGCAGAGUUUGGUGAACCCAGAGCUGCGAUGAACUGACUGGUUUCUCCUUCUGAGAUGUCUGCUCAUUUGCAGGGCACUUUUCAGUCAUUCCCAACCGAGUCAGGAGGCCAGCAGGCAGAGGCGGGGCCAGGUCAAGCUCCCAGUGUGGCCUUGGUGCAGUCCGGAGUAUCGUUCCUCCCCACGGCCAUACAUUUUCCAUUGAUUCCCACAGGGAUUAUGGUGGCGUUUCCUCUCCUUUCCCUUCAAAGACACUCCUAGGAGCCUGAGCUCCUGGAUUGCAGUCCCCCGUCUUCCUGAGGAAGGGAAGGGAGGGAGGACAUGUUGAGGUGGCGUAGAACUGGUUCUGGCGCAGGCUGGCUGACUCGCUGCAAUCCUCUGGGCCUUGGCUGCGCGAGGCAGACAGGCCAGGCUGGGAUCUUCGUUCAUGGACUCCCGUGUUCCGUCAGCACACGGGUACCGCGUGCAGCUGUGUGCCGGCAUAGCACAGGGCACUGAGAUACGACCACCAGCACGAAGGGUGCGUCCUGCCUUUGUGAGCGUGCAGUCUGUGGGGGCGGGGUGAGGGGAGGCACUGAUAGCCACACGACUCUAAACGGGAUGCACGCUCUGAAGGAAUUUCCCAGCAUGCUGUGAGAGUCCCCUUUCCUGAGCACUUGUGUAAUGUGUGGGAAAUCUGACUGAGGCUUGACCACAAAACAAAACUGUCUUCAUUCAUUGUUCAUUCAUUCAUUCCUUCAAAAAAUUGUAACGAGCACCUGCCUUCUGGAGCAGUGGCUUUGUGUUUUGCAUUCCCCAACGAAGGGAUAAAUCAAGGCUGAUAGGAAGAUAUGACAUGAAAUGGGGCUGGGAACAAGUUUAUUUGGUCAACCAAAUUCAAGAGACAUUCGCUAUGUUUUGCUGUGGGCCCGGCGCUAGGACAUGAGUGUGUCGGGGUCAGGACGUGAUGGUGUCUGCCCUCAGGGAGCUCUUGGGGAACCCUGGGGUCUAAGUCUUGGGCAGAGGGGAGUAAGCUGGACCAGGGUGAGCCCACUGGGGUUUGAAUCUGGGCUUCACCACACAAGAGUAUAAGACCUAAGGGGAAUUUUGAAACAUUCUGUAGCCUCCAUUUUCUCAUCUGUAUAUAAAAAUAAGGACAUUUCUCAAUAUUAUUAUAUACUGUGCUAAGCACUGAGCGUGCACUACUUCAUUGACCCACAUAACAGCCUUAGAGGUAUGUUCUUUCCUUUCUCCAUUUAACUGAUGGGGAAACCGAAGCUCAGAAACGAAAAGAGAUGCUGAUGUCAUAAUGCUGCCAAGGGCUCUCUUUUAUUCUCACAAGAUAUAGGACAGGUGGCUGACAGAGACCCCACAACCCUCAGGCAACGUGGGCUCCAAACUUGUCUGAUCCAUCAUCUCUCUUAGAAACGCUACAAAACAUGUCCUCAUCGAUCUUGUUUAUUUAGAAACAAAGACCUGUCCUACCAUCCGUCUACAUGGCAAAGAUUCACUUCUUAUCUUGGAUAAAAUCAAAUAUACAUAAAGAUUGCAUCUAAACAUAAAUACAGAUACAAUUGCUCCCUGCCCCCCAGUGAGUCACUGAGCACUUGGAGACCAUGCUCCCAGAUCACUUCACGGGGGACAAUGGUGCCCAGAGAGGCCAAGCAACUUGUCCAGUUGCUCAGUGGCAGUAGACCGCUGGGGAGAUUUUGCCCCCAGGUGACACUGGGCAAUAUCUGGAGACAUUUUUCAUUGUCGUGACUGAUGUGUGGGGUGAAAGGGAUGCUGCUGGAACCCAGUAGUAGAAGCCAGGAAUUCUGUUAAGCCAGGAGCCCACAGUGCACAGGACAGACCCCCACAGCAAAGGAUUACCCGGCCGCAAAUGUGAAUAGCACCAAGGCUGAGAAACCCUGGUCUCAGCCCUCUGGGGCCAGGUGGCCUGAGUGUGAAUUUGGGCUCUGUUGCUGGCUGGCAACCGUGAGCACAUUACUUAACCUCUGACCUCCAGUUUUUUCGGCUGAAACGGAGGUUAAUAAUACCAGUGUGGGAAGACGGUGGCAUUAAAUGAGACCCUUUCUAUGCGAAAGGCCAAGGGUUAAUUCUCAUCUUGUUCUCCCACGCCCCUGUCCUCAGUGGUCUCAGCUCUUCCGUGAAGUUGACUUAUUUCCCAGGGCGACUGGGAAGGGUCGGCCGAAAGCCGCCAAGGGCAUUGGAAGCUACACAAGCGCUCUAAAUGCUAAGGAGCCAGGCCAAUCGGUCAGAAAGUUCCAACGCGGGUUUCCAUGUUGCAAGACCUGAGGCAGCGCCCAGGAGAGGGCGCGAGCUGGGGGUGUCUGUGAGCUGCGGGUGCCAGUGGGAGGGGUAAGUUCAGUCUGUCUACAGCAGGGCGGCAGCCUCCCUCCUUCUGUCCCACCUCUUCUCUGAACAUUUCCUGCUCCACUUCUUGGAACUGUCUCUCCCUUCUUUCUUUCCUUUCUUGCCUACUUCCUUCCAGUGAACAGACUUCAGACAUCAUCACACAGAGACAACCCAGUCCUGACCAUCACUGUAGACAGACAUAGAAACAGACCCUUGCAAUCCGUGUCCUGGUACAGAGGGGCGCCAGGAAGGAGGUGGUCCAGCCUAUCUGAGAAUGGAGAGAGGGUUUGGGAAAAAGGUUCUUGGAGGUGUGGCUGGAGCUGUGAGACCCAGCCCCCAUCUCUAACCAGGUUAGAUGCCUCUGCUACCAGGUUGUCAGUAGACUGUAGGCAUCGUGUGGGCAGGGACUUCUAUUUUGUUCCCUGUUGGAGCCUCAGAGCCUGGAAUGGUGCCUAGCAUAUGGUGGGCACUACUACAUAUUUGUGGAAUGAAUAAACAGUGUUUAGAAAUUUGCCAAAUGGGCCUGGGAGAGAAGGGAAGGGCAUUCGGAGCACGGGGAACAGAACUAGCAAAGGCAGGCAAAAGAUGAGAAUUAUGAAAGAUAUAGGAGGAAAUGCUGGGGAUGGUUAGUGAGCUGGGCACGUGGCCCCAGCCCAGGGCUGGUAGCAGAGGCCUUGCAUGUGUGCGGCAAGUCAUUGUAAGUUAUCCGAAGAUGAGAGGAUAUUUUUUUCAGGGAAAGGGUGCAUUAAGAAAGAAAGAGUUGGGAAGGGCAUGACAGCACUCAUUCAGCAACAUUUACUGAGUGCCUGUGAGGUUCCAGGCACUGCGCUAGCCUGGGAGAGAGAUAGCAGGGGCCAGAACCAGUGGGGAUGGGACUCAGGAGCUAAGCUUCGCACAGCACUGAGUGAGCGCCUGCUGCCUGACUGGGGGUGGGCUGGAGGAGGCUGCUGGGGGAAGGGCCAGUCAAGCAGGACUCUGUGGUUUUAUGCCACAGGAACUGACAGGGUGCUGGAGUCAUCGAGGAAAAUAGAGACUACAGAAAGAAACGGGUUGGAGUAGAAAGUGCACUGUGUGACUUUGGGCCAAUUCCUUCUGUGAGCCUUAGUUACUAUUUUUAACAUUAUCAUGAUUACAAACCAGGCAUAGGAGCUUUAUGUACCCAUUUCAUUUAAUCCUUAUAACAUUUCUGCAAAGGAGAUAUUCUCUCCCCCAUUUUACAAAUGGAGAAAUUGAGGCACAGAACUUUAAAUGAUUUCCCAAGGUCAUAGAGCUAGUAAGAUGCUGGGAGAAGCAACAGCGGCAUUGAAGGAUGUCAGACUCCCAAUCCAUUCCUUUCUCCCUCCACCCAGCUCCAAGAAGCUCACCUCAGACACUGGCCUCCAGGCCACCAGCUUAAUCUUGAGAGGUCCAAACUGCUGCUGGAGCCAUCCGGGCUCCCCGGGUCUGCGCUGGGGCAGCGGGUCCGAGCCCCCUGCGGCUAGAAGCUGCGCUCUUCUCAGGACCAUUCCCCACAGACCAUUCCCUCGGUGGAGCCUGGAAAGAAGGUUAAAGGCGACUUCUGCACGUCAGUCAAGAGGCUCCUUCUUGCGAGUGUGACAUCUUAGCCUGAGCGAGGCCGUGCCCAUCUCUAACACAGGGCGGCUGCCAGCGCGUCUCGGGAGGAGCCGGGAAAGACUGCAGGCACCUGCAUGGGGCUUCUCGCGUGGCGAGUGCUCGAUCCACGGAGGAGACACUGGAGGGGUGGCCGGGCCCACAGGCCCCCGGGAGGCAGUUUGCUCUCCUUCAAACCCCAGUUCAUCACAGCUCACACCAGCUGUGACAUGUGGGGCAGGUCUUAAUCUCUUAGUGCCUUGGUUUCUUGAUCUGUAAAACUGGUGUAAUAACAGAAUCUACUCUGUAGGGUAGUAGCAGAGAUGAAAGGAAUGGAGAUGAGAGAUGCCUGAUGCACUCAGAACACCGCCUCCUACCUCCCCAGUGGAACGGCCCAAGGACUCCUGCCCAUGCCUUUCUCAGAAACCAGCCCCCCCACAAAGGAGGAGGAGUCAUUGCGAGCAGGCUCCAACGAAGAGGAAGGGAAUAGUGGCUUUGAUUCAUUCUUUUCUCCAACGUUUUUUUAUUGAGCAUUUAAUUUGCAGCAUGUCAAACACUUAGGUGCCAGGGAGGCUCCACAAGCAAGACGGCACCACACCCCAAGGAACUCGAGGUGGAAAACGAGACCGGGGGAUAAGGAACCGAGAAGCCCGGCGUGUUGGGUCACAGCAGGGGAGAGUCAGGACUUCUGGUUGGGAAUGGCAUUUGCAAAGAUACCGAAUGUUCACGCUUUGCCUUGCACAGCUAUUUGCAUUCAGUAAGAGGAAAUUGUGGGUUUUAUUACCAAAAUGGUUGAUUAUGAAAAUGAUGAAGAUAAUGAUGUCCUUGGAAAUGACUCCAGCAUGUGAAGGUGGAGGAGGGGAGAACGAUGGGAGAGGAGGCUGGGAGUGGGGCAAGCAGAGUCUGGGUCCAAAAGGUCCCAGUGAGCCAGACAGGGAGUUUAAAUUUCAUCCUGGAAGCAGCAAGGCCCCUGGGAAGAAUUUCAAGCAGGAGAGGUGGGUGGCCAGCUCUGUUUUAACGAGAUCAUACCGGAGGCUGCGUUGAGGCUGGGUUGGAGUGAGGUUGACUGGAGUCUGGGAACAUUAGAAAGGUAACUGGCAGCUGGCCUCACUGGGGGGCAGGGGAAAGGGGGCACCACCUCACCUGGACUUGAGAUGAGCUGUGUCACAUCCAGGCCUCAAUUCUAUCAACUUGAGCUUAGUGUAUAUGAAUCCAAAAGGGAAUAAUGUCCACUGACUUCCCAGCUGUCUCCAGGAAUGAAGAUUGGCAACCUGGUCCCUCUCUUUUCUGAGGCCCUGGGCAGCCAGAGGGCCAGGGUCAUGGGCUUGGCUGUGGUAGGCAGAAUAAUGGCCCCCCCCAAAUACGUCAAGGUCCUAAUCCCCAGAAUGUGUGAGUAUGUCACUUUACAUGAUAAAAAAGACUUAGCAGAUGUGAUUAAGAUAAGGGUCUUGAGAUGGGGAGAUUAUCUUGGAUCAUCCCAGGUGAGAGGAUGCUGCACUGCUGGCUUUGAAGACGGAGGAAGCGGCCUUGAGCCUGGGCACGUAGGCACCUCUAGAAAGUAGAAAAGGAGCACAAACAGAGGCACUCUCAACAAGAAUAUACACCUAUGUGCUGGGGGGCUUUGGGAAGGGAAGAAAAAAUGAAAGUGGAAAAGGCAAAGAAUGGGACCCUCCCCUGCAGCCUCCAGAAGGGCCGGCUCUGUCUGUCGGCAUGACUUCAGCCCAGUGCCGCCGGCUCGGGACUUCCCACCUCCAGCAGCAGCACAAGACAGCAUGCGGCUUUACGCCACCAAGUUUGAGCUCAUCUUAGGAAUUGAAAGGAGGGUGUUCUUUUUCUUCCCUUAGUUCCUGCCCAGGGCCAGGACUAGCUGGAGGGGGACCAUCCAGGAAAGCUCCAAACCGUGUUUGUCCUGGAGGCUGAGGAGACGCCAACGGGUGAGAGAGGGAGGAGAGCGCACAGAUGCAGUGCAGACGCUGCCCUGGAGAGAACGCUGCUCCGGGCCAGGCUCGUGCUGGGCGCUCUCAUGGACUGCCUCACUCUCCUCUCAAUAACCAGGGGGAAACUGAGGCACACAGAUUUUAAGUAACUUGCCUGAGGCCGCACAGCUAUAAGCGGCAGAGCAGAGACCUGCCCCCGUGUGCCGCUGGAGCCCACGCUCUUUACCUUGCACUGUAUCCUAGGAGGAGCCGGGGGUGGGGGAGGCACUGUGGGGCGUUCCUCGAGUGGGAACCUGUGUCACCAGCCGCCCAAACUUCUGCUUGCCCGAGGUGUCUUGUCUCUCCCCGUUUCAGGAUAGCGGCGAAGGAAGGGGAAUUCCCUCUCUGUCUCUCUCUGUCUGUAUAACCCUUGACCCCUCUGCUGGAGCUUUCCCUGGAAAGGAUGUGACCCAAGAUGAGAUAUCAGGAAAGCAGGUGUGUCUGGCCGUGUUUGACCCUCAGCAGUUCUGUGGCCUUGACUUCAUCCUGAGCUAUCAGAGUGGGCAGGAGUAUAUUUCAGACGGGGAAACUGAGACCCAGAGUAGGAAUUGUCUUGCCCAGAAUGGUUUCUGCAAGGGGCAGUUUUCCACCCUCAGGAGGCCUCUUUGUCAUGGACUAUGGAGGUGGCAAAAGAGAUACAAUGCGUGUCUAUAACCAGGCUCUGCAGUGGCAUCUGAUGCGGCUUUUCUGGUCUGCCUCAGUCACAGAUUAUGAUAAAAAUUCCUGGUUCAGCCACUUAACUGGCUGAGUGACCCUGGGCAAGUUAUCCAACCCCUCUGUGCCUCAGUUUCAUCACCUAGAAAAUGGGGAUUACCUAUGUAAAGUGUUUCCUGCUCUGGUGGAUGAGGCGGGGGCAAAGAGACAAUGAUGCCAGUACCCAACACUUCCAAAACAGGGAGCGCUGGAUGGGCUCGGACCUGACGCCGAACCCCUUUCUGUUCUUUUUCUCCUCUCAGUUCUUCUCCCCAGAGUUUUCACAGGAAUUGAGAAUCGUCAGAGAGAGUUUGGUCACAUCCGGUUCUACCUGCCCCUGACAGGGGGAGCGGUGAGCCUUGGGAGCAUCUGGGAGGCCAGGGCUGCACACUCAGGGCUGCCAGCUCAGGGGGAGGUCCGGGUUUGCUGUGGGGGGGCAGCCAAUGCGGGGAGGAGCCAAGGGAAGCCCCUCCCCCGGGAGGUGUGGGCCCAGCCUUGCUCCUGUCCCGCUCUGGCUUCACUCUCUUGGGCUACAGAGACAUCCAUAAAUGAUGUGCCCUCUCUUAAUGACUGCAGCCACCAUGUGCAGGGGCUUUGACAGGGUUCACUUGGUGAGCCCAACAGGCCACUGAGGCAGUAAUGCCUAGCCCAUUUCAACAGCGGAAGAAGCAGGAGCCCACACACUCUGGCCCGCAGGCUCCAGAGGUCCUGCUCGGUCUAGCACUGCAUCCCUCCAUGCUCCCUCACUCAUCCCACUCCCGCCCCCUCCUGCGGGGCCGCCUCCGUGCUGGCCCCAGACAGACCCUGUGCUGAGGUCCCCCACCCUCGCACGUGUCCCCUACCCCUGUGUCACCUCUCUGAGCCCUUUCUUUAAGGUCAGUUUGAAGCUCCCUGCUUCCCUUCCUCCCUUCCACAAACCUUCCGAACAACUUCUGUCUCCCUCCUCGACAAAACCUCGAAUAGACCCCUGCACCCCCCGAGUUGUCAGAAGGGACAGCGUGGCCAGGAAGGGAUGGCACUUGUUGACGCUUGCCACAUGCUGCCUACUGUGCAAAACAGUUUACAUGUAUCACUCCAUUUGAUUCUCUUGGGAGGCAGGUGCUAUCAUUGUCCCAUUUUACAGAUGAGGAAACCGAGGCUUAAAAAGUUUAGGCUACCCACCCAAGAUCACAGAGGCAGGAAAUGGAAAAAUGUGGACCCAAACUCAGAUCCGUCUGAGCCUAAAGCUUGUGCUCUUUACCGCACAAUUUGGCCUCCUGCUCUCUAGGCGCCCCUCGCCAGGCUGGCCCUAUCUCCCUUCUAGGUCUCAUCUCCAUGGGCCCUCCUGUCAUUCACUCCAAUUGACUCCCCUUGCAUUUUCGUUCCUCUGGGCCUUUGUGCAUGCUAUUCCUUCUACCUGGAACACCUUUCCCUUUCUUUUGUGCCAUCAAAAGCCUUCCCAUGCAGGGAGCCCUUUCUCUGGGAGUCCCUCCUGGAGGCCCUGGCGGCUCCCACCUCCGACUGUGGAGAGAGCCACUUCCUUCCUGCUGGCCCUUGCAGCGUGCUUCUCUAUGUGACUGCAGCGUGCUGAGUCUGUGCUGGUGUCCAACUGCCACACAUUAACUGAGCACCCAUUUCGUGCCUGGCACUGGGGGCUCUUGGGACAUGGGGGUGAGCCAGAUAGGUGUGUCUCAGCUGUUGCAGCGUUUGCAGCCUUGGGGUGAGGAACAGGCCCAUGCUCAGGACCACACGGCGGCCUGAGUCUUGUGGUGGGGCAGGAUAAGGGGCUUCAAGUGCUCCCAAGAGGAGCACCUAUCCAGGACCAGGAUGGGCAGCAGGGCUCCAUGGAGCAAGUGGUAGUAAACCAAGGUGGAGAGAGUCAAGCCAGGAGGGGGUGAAGGGGGAAAGCAAUGUCUCAGGCAAAGGGAACAGCCUGUGCAAAGGCCCAGGGGUGAUAGAAAGCUAGGUGAGAUCAGAAUGCCACAGAGAUUGGCAUGGCCAGAAAAUAGAGCAUGCAAGGCAAGUGUUGCAAGAACACUCUGGAGAGGCGAGCUCCGACUCUGGCCAAAAACGUUUGCCAGAAUCUUGCCUCUCUCUCCCACUCAUCUGUGGGCUCAGGUGGCUUAGAGGACAGUGUGGCAUGGGAGUUAACAGCCUGGCCUUGCAGCCAGCAAACCCAGGUGUGGCUUGAGUGACUUCAGACAGCUGCUUACCUGUUCUGGGUCCCACUCUCAUCUUUUAAAUGGGAAUCAUCAUACCACCCCCUCCGAGGGCUUGGAGAGGACUGUGUAACGGAAGGGAUGAGCACAGUCUCUGGCCCACGGGAGCAGCUGAAUGCAGGGCUGCUGCAGCGAUGGCAAGAACACAUGGGAACGUGUUAGACACCAUGUUGCUGUUGUCACCAGUAUUCUUACCAUUAUUUCUGUUGUUGGAUCUGAGUCGUCUCUGCCUCUCUUAUGGAUGGCACCAAGGGCUCUGUUGCCUACCCAGCUCUGGGUCCUGGGGAAGGAGCCGGCAAGAUGGCGAGCGCCAGGAUCAUAGAACAACCCCUUUGCCCUCCGCAGCUGUGCGCGGGCCAGGGAAUGAGAGGUCUGUAGCCCUGUGGACUAGUCUGGCAGGGGCUCCGGACACAGAAUCCGGAUGCUAUGUGAACACCCCAGCCUGGCUGGGAAAGCUGCCCACCAGCCCGUCCCCCUCUGCCCUUAUAUGGCCUUCCCUUUCUUGGGGAUGAGUUGAACCUCCUCAGGGUUGGAUGUUCUCGUCCCCCUGCAGGACGCCAGGACGCCUGCUGGGGUGGUGAUUCUUUUCUUGUGGGCAUUCCCAUCUGAUCAAUUUUCUGCCCUCUCUGGCUGCUCUGAGCUGAGGGCUGCCCCCUAAGAACGCAUCACCCAGACCCCCUUGGGCUCUCAAUUCUGGCCGGAUCUGGCCACAGGGAAGCUGCAGCAGGAGAGAGGAGUGUACGGGGAGAGAGGUCAGGCAUCCAUCCCUCUCUCCGUCUGCUCCUUCUUCCACUGUCCUGACAUUGGCUGUGACCAGGACAGCUGUAGCUCCCUGGCUGCUCCUCCUUGGCUCCGGCUCUCAGGCCCCCCAGAGCACCUUCCUUCUCUUCUGCUUGAUCGCUAAGAGGGGUGUGGGCUUCCCGCUGCUCUAGGCCCGGGGGGGCUGCCUUGACCUCUCUUGCUGGUUUCCUUGACCUGCCCCCGCCUCUGAGCACAGCCCUGCUCCGCGCUGUUGCUGUCGCUGUCGCAGGCUGCCUGUCUCCCGCUGACUCCCAUCAGUGUUCCGCGGAGGCUGUCCAGGCUCCUCCAAGAGACCCCGCCCAGCCAGGACCAGGGUGCAGGGCUGCCCCUCUUCUCCUCUCCUGUAACCUGGGUGCCUCCUAAGAGGGCAGGCCAGGGUCCCACAUGGGCACUCGUCCUGGAGGGGUUGGAGCUGCCUGUGGGACUGCAGAGGAAGCCAGGAUUCCAUCACAGAGGGCCUCAGGGGCCAUGGGGGGAGGAUUUGGGGUUUUAAGAACAACAAGCUGUGGCAGAUUUUUGGGAUGGGGAUUGCCAUCCUCUGGUUUACAAAUGUAGAGGAUUUAUCUGCUGAGAGGUUCUAGACGGUCUGUGUAGACCCAGGGAAGCUAUCUGGGGUGCUGGGGCAGUAGUUGCCCUGUGACAUUAUGGGGCUCUGCCACCAUUAGAGACAUCUGCCACCUCCACUGUGAAGCCUCAGCUGGUCACCCACGAAGGGUUGAAGGCUUCCUUCCUGUGUGUUCACAAAACUUUGUCACAGCAGCUAUCACAGUCGCCCCUCCUCCUGUCCGCAGCGCGCCUCUGCCUCAGCGCCCGCUCACUCCCGGGUCCCAGCACGCGCAGGGCCUGCACACAGAGGGUGCGGUAGGGCUGGCGCUUCGCUGAACUGGUUGGGACUGUCUACCUUCAGUGCAAAUGCCUUUGAAGGUGCCUCCUGUUACAACAUGAGUAACUGUUAAGGGAUGCCCAGCGUCAGAUCAGCUUGCGCCGCCUUGUCAGGCAAGGAGAGACAGUGGACAUUGGCUGCGUGCUUCCCCACGCCGCCUCGUCCAGUCCACUUGCCAGCCCUGGGAACAGGCAGUCCUGCCCCGUUUCACAGAGGGGAAACGGAGGCUCAGAAGAGUGGUCUAACUUGGAUCAGGUCGCCCAGCUUGUGAGUGACAGAGCCUGGGUGCCAACCAGGUCUCUCUGUCUCCUAAAGCUGUCAGCGGAGCCAAACGCCGCCAGGAGAACUGGACCAGCCUGCUCAGGAAACUGGCCUGGAAAGAAGGAGUCCAUUGUUUACCAGCUUGUUACUGUGGCUCUGGGCGCAUUAUGGAUCCAAGCAGGUGACACGGAGCAUGGAGCUGCAGCCAAGAGAAGGUUUCAGAAAGACGUGGUCCCACCGUAGCAGUGAGCAGGCAGGAGAGUCAUCGCCCUCCCGGAAACCAAGCCCGCUUUGGAUUGUAGAGAACAGACCGCACAUCUGACACGCGAGUUUCCCAAUUCCUCCCGAUUUGUAGGCUGAGUUUGUAAAACUCUAAAUAUUUGUCUGACUUUUAAGACUGUUUUCUUCAAGUCUCAGUCGGAGACUCUGGAGGGAAACGCCUAGAGCCCCGGGCCGGCGCUGGGCUGGGAGCUGGUGCCCGGAAGUCGCUCCUGCUUCCUGGGUUUGGUGAGCACCUCCUCAUCAGAUUGCCCUGGAAACCUCCACGAGCUGCCAUCAGACAGAUGGGUCUCCUUCUGCAUGGGGAGGGCUGAGGCCCAGGACCUCCAGCACAUGUCCCAUCCUCUUUGCUGGACCAUUCUGCUGCUCGUGGCAUGACCCUGGCACAGUGGCCACGUGGGAUUAAUUCCAAACCUCUGACCUGGCUUUGCGCAUGCCGUUCCUUCUUCUUAGACUCUCCUUCCCUCACCUCCUCUGAACUCAGGGCUCUCCAACUUCAUCCUCAGGACUCAGUGUGGUUCCUCCUCUGGGACGAGGCUCUAAGGGGGAAGUGGCUGUCGGCUCUGUGCUCCUUUCUAGCAUCAGCCCCUUUCUUGUCAUCUUUGCGUGUCCCUGUUUCUCAUCUGGGAGCUCCUUCAGAGCAGGGCGUUGUUGUUCAUUUAAAGAUCUUUAGGCCCUGACAUAGGGCCCAGUCUGCGGCUGGUACUCAGUGAAAGAAGGACUUCAAGAGGAGUCCUGAAUUUUAAACUUUUUGCUCAAAUGAACAGGGCACUCGGGCCUUCACAGAAAGAGUGGUAGGAUGAGGGGUGCGUGGACUGCUGUUUAGGAGACCCCUCGGGCCGAUCUGGGUCAGCCCCCAUUAUUCUGCACCUGAGAAAGUGGGAGCUUAGUGACAUCCCAGCUGCAUGUGUUGCUGGCAGAGCUGAGGUCUCCCCACUCUCAGUCCAGUGCCCAAUCUGUGAUCUCAGGAUGUCCCUCGUCCUCAUGAGAAUGAGCUGCAGCAAAGACAUGGCUGGUGGCGUGGAGAAAGGCAUCCAGGGACAAGAUACUGGGAGUGACAAAAGUCCCUGGAGUGUGGCUUGCCAUCUUGGCAGCAGGCUGCCUGGCAGACUGGAGGAUGCUAAUGAGAAGAAAGCCUCGGGAGUGCCAUGGCAGGAGCUCUGGGUUGCAGACUUGGGCUUCUCAGGCCAGACCCGCUGGCCCGAGUCAGCUCAGGAACCAGGGAAAAGUGCCACAGAGCCGUCCCCAAACCAAAGGCUUCAGGCUCCUUGCAGUUGGGCAUCUGGCCAGAUGUUAAGAAAAGGGGACAUUGCAAAGAACUCUAGCAGGAGGAAGUGGUUUGAGUUUCCUGCUUGAAGGAGGAUGCUUCAUUUAAAUAGAAUUCGGUAGAAUUAAGUAGAAGGGGGAAGUCUCUCGAGCCCUCUGCUUGGACCUGGAAGUCUGCUUCUUGCAGAGAAAGAGGAUUCAGAAAUGGCUUCCCAGGGAACCAGAUUUUACCCCAAAUUCUCAAUCGGGGUGGGGAUGGAUGUAACAGAAAACGUUUCCAACUACUGAGCCCCUGUUCUGUGUUGGGUACUUCUCUCAGUUAGUGCUUCUCCCCAAAUCCUCGUGGAAACUCAGGUUCCCAGAGGGGAAGUGAUUUGCCGCAGAAGACACAGCAAGGCAGGCUGGCACUCGGACCCACUCCCGGCUGACCGCCUCGCCACGUCCGCUCCCAAAGCCGGCUGGCCUCCCUGGGCCUGCGGGCCUCAGUCUGAGUGAGCUUCUCUCGUCUGUGAGCUGACAGUCACCAGGCCAGGCCCCUCCCUGCUUUGCAAAGCUCAGUUUUGCACAGCUAACCUCUUCAGUAGACCUCAGGGAGGUUCGACCGUGAGGGCCUGAGGACAGGGUCUGGGGUGCAUCACCUCUGUCUUCCCCGCACUGGCUCAAGGGCCUGGACCCAGUAGACGCACGGAAACAAUGGUCCCCGUGCCAGGAUCUUCUGUGUGGUAGCUCACUUCAUUCCCACACUGAGCCGGGGCCUGGGUUUGUCAUGCUCAUGUCUGAGAUGGGAAAACAGACUCAGGAAGAGAAGUAAUUUUCUCAGGAUAUGUUGCUUGAUUGUCUUUUAAAAAUAAAGGUAUUCCCUGAGUAUGGUAUAAGUAAGAUGUUUUAGGACACUUCUCUGCAAGAAGUAGCAUAUUUACUUGUAUUUCUAAAUCAAAUAAAUUUGGCUUGCCACGCCCACCUGCAUUUGGCAGGAAAUUCCGUCUCAGCGUGUGGGGUGGAGGUCGCCCCGAAUGCGGGAGUUUAUAGGGGAUGGUGUUUAGACAAGAGUCUGCCUCUGGCCUUCAGCUCCAAGACGUUCCAAUCACAGGGCAAUGCUAAUCAAGCGACGCUUUGGAGCCACUUCCCAGAGUGGCCUGGGAACGCCCCCGCAGGUCAGGUGCUGUUCGAAGAGUUGGCACGGUGUGAGAUUUUUAACCUCAGUGGGUGACGAUGGCCUCCUUCUUCCGCCCUCCCCCCAUCACACAUCCUCUGUUGGGUAAGUUGUAUUGGCCGUGGGCGUUUUAUAUUUGUAAUGUUCUUUUCUUAAAGAAAGCUCCUCAAAAUGCAUAUAUUCAGGUCCCACAAAACCUAGAUGUGCUCCUGCCUGCUUCGUUCACGGUGGCAGUCCCUCCACACGUGCCCUGAGCUGCCUUCCUGGUGGCCCUGGAGCCGUGGCUCUUCCUGUGAAAUCUUCGGCUUUUCCUCUUACCCUUUCAGAGGUUCCACCUUCCUGGAUGGGGGUGCUAUGUGGAAAUGGGAUACUGGUCACCCAUUUUGGAAACAGCAGCUUCCACAGUUUAUUUUGCCAUCUUGGAGAAGCCUUGCCGAGGUUAGGCCAUUCCCCAUUUUCAAGCACAGAGGAAAGGGUACAGAGGCCUUUGCACACACAAUGUCACAGUCAAGGUCAGAAUGUCACAAAGUCACAGGGUCACAGUUAAGGUCACAGUGCCACCAUCAAGGUCACAGGGUCACAGUCAAGGUCAGAGGGAAGGCCAGCAGUGAGACAGCAGCAGGUUGGAUGUGGCUGUCUUCAUUCUCUUAGAUGAAGUUCAAGGCAAAGGUCUCUGACAGUCCUUGGAAGAGAAUGUCCAGCUUGUUUUCCUGCCCAGAGCCUAGUAAACAGGACAACUGGAAUCUGUGGUGGCCUCAGGACACAUGGACUGCAGCCUGGCUGGCCGUGGGAGAGAAGGCAGUGUGGAAAUGGCUGACAUUAGGACCCACCCUGGCCUCUGCACUUGAUCCCCAAGGAAAUUCCUCUUCUGGGACAACCUGUCUCAGGCACUUGGAAUCUGUAUCUUGGGUCAGAAAAUAUGCACAGCCUUUGACCCAACGAUUCUACUUCUAGGAACGCAAUAAGAAGGAUAGUUGCUGAUGUGUGCAAAGAUAUAUGUCCAAGGGUGUUCAACGUAGUGUUGUUUGUAAUAGAGAAAAAGUGGAAGCAACUCAAAUAUCCAGCAAUGGUGGUAAGUCAGGAAACUUGUGUUGCUACAGUGCAUCUAUAUGAUGGAAAAAUAUUAGCCAUUAAUAAUCAUGUGGUAAAGGAAUGUGUAUUGAUAUGGAAUUUUCAGAAUAUUUUGCCAAAUGAAAAAAGGCUAUCAAACAGCAUGUACUGCCUGUUCUUACUUAAUCAUAUAAUUACAUAUUACGCUGAGGUUAACUGAACACUUACUGGAUGCCAGGCAUGGCUCUAAGCAUUUAAAAUACAGUCAUACAUUUCAUCGUGCAACGUCUAUGAAGAAGAUAUUUUUAUUAUCUAUAUAUUACACAUAAGGCACCUGAGACACAGAGCAUUUAAGUAAUUCGCCCAAGGUCACACAGUAGUAAGUGGCAGAACCUGAAUGUGACUAAGGCAGCUGGGGUCCGGAGCCAUGCCUACACCACUAAGCUGGCCCUGCUCUCUCUUCCUGUGUGUGUGCAUGUUUGUAUAGUUUUCUCUCUCUUUCUCAGAGGCUUUACACCAAAAUGUUAGCUGUGUCUUCAGUCAUCCCUUCCUCAAACAAGAUACAGCAGAUGUUUCCAUGAUGCGAGGGGAUGCUGCAGCUACUGCGGCACUGGGGGACAUCUGCGCCUUGAGCACAGAGACCACGCCACGUGCCUGUGUGGACUCCACAUGGGCACGUCCCCAAUUCACCAAUUCAGCAAACAGUGACUAGGCACCCAUUCUGUGCAGGCCUUGUUCUAGGUUUUGAGGAUUCAAAAGUGAACAGGGAAGGCACACAGGACAAUUCUCCCAUAAAACUGACAUCCCAGUGGGGAGGCAGAGAGGUGACCAGUAAGUAAACAGCCAAGAAAAACACCAGCUGGAGAUCAGUGUUGUUGGGAUCUGAAAUUAGAAGAGUACGAGAGAGUGGGACCACAGCUACAGGGGUUAAAUGGCCAGGAAAGGGGACUUUUUAGAGGUGGCAUCUCAGCUGAGACUUGAAUGACCAGAAGAAACAAGAUAUUUGUCUAUAUCCGUAAUGUAUCUAUGUCUAUCUCUAUCUACCUAUCUACCUACCUACCUAUCUAUCAUCUAUCUGUCCAUCACCUAUCUAAUCUGAGAGAGAGAGAUAAAUCAAACCCAGUAAAAUGUUAACAUUUGGGGAAUCUGGGUGAAGUGUACAUUAAAAUAUUUUUGUAUAAUUGUUGUGACAUUUCUGUAAGUCAAAAUUAUUUUAAAAUAAAGAGUUG